UAGUUUGAUCCUGGCUCAGAUUGAACGCUGGCGGCAUGCCUUACACAUGCAAGUCGAACGGCAGCACGGGGGCAAUCCCUGGUGGCGAGUGGCGAACGGGUGAGUAAUACAUCGGAACGUGUCCUGUAGUGGGGGAUAGCCCGGCGAAAGCCGGAUUAAUACCGCAUACGCUCUACGGAGGAAAGGGGGGGAUCUUAGGACCUCUCGCUACAGGGGCGGCCGAUGGCAGAUUAGCUAGUUGGUGGGGUAAAGGCCUACCAAGGCGACGAUCUGUAGCUGGUCUGAGAGGACGACCAGCCACACUGGGACUGAGACACGGCCCAGACUCCUACGGGAGGCAGCAGUGGGGAAUUUUGGACAAUGGGCGCAAGCCUGAUCCAGCAAUGCCGCGUGUGUGAAGAAGGCCUUCGGGUUGUAAAGCACUUUUGUCCGGAAAGAAAACCUCUGGGUUAAUACCCCGGGGGGAUGACGGUACCGGAAGAAUAAGCACCGGACU
This 496-nucleotide ribosomal RNA is filed under the name bacterium PN33. RNAcentral's name for it is "bacterial SSU rRNA". It matches the Rfam family "Bacterial small subunit ribosomal RNA", at positions 9 to 499 of the family's 1533-position model. The record is from RNAcentral.